RNAcentral lists this ribosomal RNA (463 nucleotides) under uncultured bacterium. RNAcentral's name for it is "partial 16S ribosomal RNA". It matches the Rfam family "Bacterial small subunit ribosomal RNA", at positions 28 to 507 of the family's 1533-position model. The record is from RNAcentral.
GAUGAACGCUGACAGAAUGCUUAACACAUGCAAGUCUUUGGCGAAGCUGUGCUUGCACAGCCUAGCCAAGGCGGACGGGUGAGUAACGCGUAAGGAACUUGCCCUGCAGUCAGGGAUAACAGACGGAAACGACUGAUAAGACCUGGUAAAGUCAGGCGGACUCAUGUCCAGCCUGAUGAAAAGAGAUGCUGCAGGAGAGCCUUGCGUCCUAUUAGCUUGUUGGUGGGGUAACGGCCCACCAAGGCGAUGAUAGGUAGCCGGCCUGAGAGGGGGGACGGCCACAAGGGGACUGAGAUACGGCCCUUACUCCUACGGGAGGCAGCAGUGGGGAAUAUUGGACAAUGGGGGCAACCCUGAUCCAGCAAUUCUGUGUGCACGAUGAAGGUUUUCGGAUUGUAAAGUGCUUUCAGCGGGGAAGAAAAAAAUGACGGUACCUGCAGAAGAAGCGACGGCUAAAUACGUG